CGAAAUGUUGAACUAGAUGAGUCUCCACGAUCAACGAAGCAGAUAAAAGUAUACCACUCUGGAAGGCGCAAAGCAACAGGCAAACAUCAAGUAUUACAGCAAAGUCGCUGCUGCUCAGGAAUCCUAAGGCGUCCCUCCCCUGUCAAUCCCAAACAUCUGUAUCGGGACCCAAAAGAACGCGUCCACAGAUACCAGCCACAUAAGAAGCCGGUGUAAGAGAAAAGGCACUCUCAAGUUGCAACUCUGAUACAGCACCAGUGUGGCAUAGCACUUAAGGCAUGGGUUACCAAACUGCUGGGUUGAAAUCCAAGUCCUCCAAUUACUUGCUGUGUGACCUUGGGAUUCCAGCAAACCCGGGCAUGCCCUGAAGACCAAUGGCAGGACCCACUGGAGGACUGUUUUCAUGAGAAGCUAGCAUCCUAGAAAAUAAUCCCUUGUUCAGGCAGGGCCAAGGAGAAGCCUGAGACAGCAGGAAGACCCCAUAAGCCACGGAGCAACUAAGCCCAUGUGCCACAACUAUUAAGCCUGUGCUCUAGAGCCUGGGAGCCACAGCUACUGAGCCCACGUGCCCGAGAGCCUGUGCUCUGCAACAGGAGAAGCCACCACAGUGAGAAGCCCCUGCGCCACAACUGAAGAGUAGCCCCUGCUUGCUGCAAUGAGAAAAGCCUGUGCAGCAACGAAGACCCAGCACAGC
Molecule: long non-coding RNA, 694 nt
Organism: Bos taurus (domestic cattle)
Lineage: Eukaryota; Metazoa; Chordata; Mammalia; Artiodactyla; Bovidae
Source: Ensembl